RNAcentral lists this ribosomal RNA (330 nucleotides) under uncultured bacterium. RNAcentral describes it as "bacterial SSU rRNA". It matches the Rfam family "Bacterial small subunit ribosomal RNA", at positions 568 to 898 of the family's 1533-position model. The record is from RNAcentral.
UCCGUAGGCGGUGUGGCAAGUCGGAAGUGAAAUCUCUGGGCUUAACUCAGAGGCUGCUUCCGAAACUGCCGUGCUAGAGUGCGAGAGAGGCAAGUGGAAUUGCGGGUGUAGCGGUGAAAUGCGUAGGUAUCCGCAGGAACAUCCGAGGCGAAAGCGGCUUGCUGGAUCGCAACUGACGCUGAGGGACGAAAGCUAGGGGAGCAAACAGGAUUAGAUACCCUGGUAGUCCUAGCCCUAAACCAUCAGGACUUGGGGUUUGCCCUGUACGGGGCAAGUCCCGUAGCUAACGCGUUAAGUCCUGCGCCUGGGGAGUACGGUCGCAAGGCUGAA